This 1042-nucleotide long non-coding RNA is filed under the name Manacus vitellinus (golden-collared manakin). RNAcentral's name for it is "lncRNA (ENSMVIG00005000158.1)". The record is from RNAcentral. Lineage: Eukaryota; Metazoa; Chordata; Aves; Passeriformes; Pipridae.
UUUCUCAAGAGAAGAAAAAAUUAUUAAUAAGUAUUUCAUUAUGUGUAUAAAUGAAAUUGAAUUUAAAAUGAAUGCAUAAAAAUCAGAAUCAGAUAAAAUCAUAGACUGUAAAAGGUCAACCACUGCUCUUCCACAGACUUUAAAGAGUAUUGGUUCAGGCCCCAGAGCUGAGACCAUUAGUUAUUGAUUUUAAGCUAUUAUUUGGAAACCUUCAGAAUUUGUUUCUAAAUAACCAAGAGAAGAAAUAGACACAUUAGUUCCUACACUAGAAAUUUUCUAUUUUUUAUUAUAACCAGUCCUUACACAGGAAACGAGACAAUUUAGAAAGUUAGAGAGCAAAGUUAUUCCUGAGAAGCUUUCUCUUUAUCCAGUGUUUUCCCUCCCACACAGAAAAGUGGAACACAGAUGCCCUCGGUUCUUAGAAAUGAGUAGAAAAAGAAGAAAAAGCUGCAAGGGCAGAAAGAGCUCUGAUUCCAGAGAAUAUGAACAGUUAUCAUCCAUUUGUAAAUGCCAGCAAAGUGUAGGAAGCCUUGAAAAUAAAGCAGAUGAGGCUCUGACUCACUUUGCAGAGCCACAGGAUAUAAAGAGUACUGGUGAAGAUGGCAAAGAUCAUGAAAACAAGAAUCAGAGUAGCUCAGAAGCUUCUGAAGAUAGAGAUCUUGAUAACAUAUCAGACAGUGAAAAAGAAGGAAAGAAGAAAAAGAACUGCCCUCCUAAAAUGUUUUCUCCUCAGCAAGAUGAAAUCCUAGCUACAGUAACUUUUGGUGAAUCAGAGGGCUCAUCCAAAGGAAAAAUUACACUGUGGGGCAAGCCAGACUCUUCAGAGUCCAUUACCUUGACCACUGGAAAAAUUUCUGCAGAAGUAAAAUAUGGCUCUUUUAAUUUGAAAGUAGAAAUUAAGAAUGUUUCUUUAUCUGAUUCUGGAACAAACAUUGUGGCUGAAAAAAAGAAAAGUUCUAAGAACAAAAAAGGUUGUCAUGAAAGACAAUACCAGAAAAGUCAAGGUUCAAAAUGUUCAAAGUACCAGUGUCCUUCAACUUAC